This 2652-nucleotide ribosomal RNA is filed under the name human gut metagenome. Its description in RNAcentral is "bacterial LSU rRNA". It matches the Rfam family "Bacterial large subunit ribosomal RNA". The record is from RNAcentral.
GGUUAUUUCUGCAAGCUGUUUUAUUGUGGCGUUAUUGUUAAGUUCAAAUUCACCAAUCAGCAAAUCAUCGGGAGAAACUUCAAGGGCAUUGCAUACCUUUAUCAUACAUUCAAGUGACAUUGCAACAGAACCUGUUUCAAGGUGUGACAUAUGAAUUGUUGAAAUGUCGAUAAUUUCCGCAAGCUGUGCCUGCGUGAACCCUUUUUGCUUUCUGUAUUUUUUAAUUCUGUUACCUAUUUCUUUAAGGUUUAGCAUUGUUUAUCACCAAGUAAAUAUUAUCUUUUAAAAGGAUAAAAAUAAAUAAAUUAUUAAAGAUAGUAUUGCUUUGAUAAGGAUAGUAUGCUAUAAUCAGGUUAGUUAAUGAGUGAUAUUUGAUGUUUUGUAAUAAAUGCGGUGGAAUAAUGACAUUUAACGGUAGUAUAGAUAUGUCUUGAAUUUGUGUUAUAGUGACACACAUUAAAUAUAACUUUAAAAAUGCAAAGAUAAUAAAAACCGCCUCAAAUGGCGGUAAAACAUACUAAUAAUUAUAUAAUUGUAGGAGGAUGACAUUAUAUGGAAGUUUUGGGAUAUAUUAUAGCAAUUGGCUUUGUAGUGUUUGGUUUUACCGGGGGUAGAGCACUGUUUCGGCAAGGGGGUCAUCCCGACUUACCAACCCGAUGCAAACUGCGAAUACCGGAGAAUGUUAUCACGGGAGACACACGGCGGGUGCUAACGUCCGUCGUGAAGAGGGAAACAACCCAGACCGCCAGCUAAGGUCCCAAAGUCAUGGUUAAGUGGGAAACGAUGUGGGAAGGCCCAGACAGCCAGGAUGUUGGCUUAGAAGCAGCCAUCAUUUAAAGAAAGCGUAAUAGCUCACUGGUCGAGUCGGCCUGCGCGGAAGAUGUAACGGGGCUAAACCAUGCACCGAAGCUGCGGCAGCGACACUAUGUGUUGUUGGGUAGGGGAGCGUUCUGUAAGCCUGUGAAGGUGGCCUGUGAGGGUUGCUGGAGGUAUCAGAAGUGCGAAUGCUGACAUAAGUAACGAUAAAGCGGGUGAAAAGCCCGCUCGCCGGAAGACCAAGGGUUCCUGUCCAACGUUAAUCGGGGCAGGGUGAGUCGACCCCUAAGGCGAGGCCGAAAGGCGUAGUCGAUGGGAAACAGGUUAAUAUUCCUGUACUUGGUGUUACUGCGAAGGGGGGACGGAGAAGGCUAUGUUGGCCGGGCGACGGUUGUCCCGGUUUAAGCGUGUAGGCUGGUUUUCCAGGCAAAUCCGGAAAACCAAGGCUGAGGCGUGAUGACGAGGCACUACGGUGCUGAAGCGACAAAUGCCCUGCUUCCAGGAAAAGCCUCUAAGCAUCAGGUAACAUCAAAUCGUACCCCAAACCGACACAGGUGGUCAGGUAGAGAAUACCAAGGCGCUUGAGAGAACUCGGGUGAAGGAACUAGGCAAAAUGGUGCCGUAACUUCGGGAGAAGGCACGCUGAUAUGUAGGUGAAGCGACUUGCUCGUGGAGCUGAAAUCAGUCGAAGAUACCAGCUGGCUGCAACUGUUUAUUAAAAACACAGCACUGUGCAAACACGAAAGUGGACGUAUACGGUGUGACGCCUGCCCGGUGCCGGAAGGUUAAUUGAUGGGGUUAGCGGCAACGCGAAGCUCUUGAUCGAAGCCCCGGUAAACGGCGGCCGUAACUAUAACGGUCCUAAGGUAGCGAAAUUCCUUGUCGGGUAAGUUCCGACCUGCACGAAUGGCGUAAUGAUGGCCAGGCUGUCUCCACCCGAGACUCAGUGAAAUUGAACUCGCUGUGAAGAUGCAGUGUACCCGCGGCAAGACGGAAAGACCCCGUGAACCUUUACUAUAGCUUGACACUGAACAUUGAGCCUUGAUGUGUAGGAUAGGUGGGAGGCUUUGAAGUGUGGACGCCAGUCUGCAUGGAGCCGACCUUGAAAUACCACCCUUUAAUGUUUGAUGUUCUAACGUUGGCCCCUAAUCGGGGUUGCGGACAGUGUCUGGUGGGUAGUUUGACUGGGGCGGUCUCCUCCUAAAGAGUAACGGAGGAGCACGAAGGUUGGCUAAUCCUGGUCGGACAUCAGGAGGUUAGUGCAAUGGCAUAAGCCAGCUUGACUGCGAGCGUGACGGCGCGAGCAGGUGCGAAAGCAGGUCAUAGUGAUCCGGUGGUUCUGAAUGGAAGGGCCAUCGCUCAACGGAUAAAAGGUACUCUGGGGAUAACAGGCUGAUUCCUCCCAAGAGUUCAUAUCGACGGGGGAGUUUGGCACCUCGAUGUCGGCUCAUCACAUCCUGGGGCUGUAGUCGGUCCCAAGGGUAUGGCUGUUCGCCAUUUAAAGUGGUACGUGAGCUGGGUUUAAAACGUCGUGAGACAGUUUGGUCCCUAUCUGCCGUGGGCGUUGGAAGUUUGAGAGGGGCUGCUCCUAGUACGAGAGGACCGGAGUGGACGAACCUCUGGUGUACCGGUUGUCACGCCAGUGGCAUUGCCGGGUAGCUAAGUUCGGGAAAGAUAACCGCUGAAAGCAUCUAAGCGGGAAACUUGCCUCAAGAUAAGACUUCCCGGAGACUAGAUCUCCCUGAAGAGUCGUUCGAGACCAGGACGUUGAUAGGCUGGGUGUGGAAGCGCAGUAAUGCGUUAAGCUAACCAGUACUAAUUGCUCGUGAGGCUUGU